This 212-nucleotide ribosomal RNA is filed under the name uncultured bacterium. RNAcentral's name for it is "partial 16S ribosomal RNA". It matches the Rfam family "Bacterial small subunit ribosomal RNA", at positions 524 to 729 of the family's 1533-position model. The record is from RNAcentral.
UACGUAGGGCGCAAGCGUUGUGACCGGAAUUAUUGGGCGUAAAGAGCUCGUAGGCGGUUUGAUCGCGGUCUGCUGUGAAAACCUAAGGCUCAACCUUGGGCUUGCAGUGGGUACGGGCAGACUGAGAGUGCGGUAGGGGUGACAUGGAAUUCCUGGUGUAGCGGUGGAAUGCGCAGAUAUCAGGAGGAACACCGAUGGCGAAGGCCAGGAUC